Homo sapiens (human) is the source of this 1472-nucleotide long non-coding RNA. Ensembl annotates it as cervical cancer associated DHX9 suppressive transcript. Its record names the gene CCDST. Lineage: Eukaryota; Metazoa; Chordata; Mammalia; Primates; Hominidae. The record is from Ensembl.
GGGGCUUUGGGAGCUUAAGGGCGCCGGCACGCGUUCCCCUGGCGCAGAGCUCGCUAGCCGGGGCGCGGGCUGCCUCCUUGUUCUGGUGUGAUCCGAAUGUAACGGAGCGGACUUUGGGAUCCAGAACCCCGGACUGAGGUUGUGCUUGGCUUGAGGGGCGGGCUGGAUUUUUCCUCUUAGGAUUUAUUUCCCUGGAGACCUCAUGAAGAAUGAUGUGGGUUCUAUAGGGUACAGUGUGAUCUGGGUCCUGCCUAAUCUCCUUUCUAAACUUCAGAAAAUCAUGUACCUUGGAGUUGUGGAGGCAUGUUUAUAAGCAGAUCUGAGUUUUGCCACACUGGAAUUUAUUUAUUCAUUGAACAAAUAUUUAAUACCUACUACAAUUCUUAGCCGAUAUCCAGACAACUUGGAGCCAAGUCCCCACAGCUGGAUCAGACAACUUUUGGUGACAUCUCACAGUGUGGAUUAUCAAGCCAGUGUAUCAGUCUGGAGCCUAGGUUUUUUGCCUUUAGCUUUGCUCAGGAUGACUUCUGCUCUUCUAUGGCAAUACUUGAGAAGCUACAGCUUUGAUUAGACGAGAGGCUAUUUCAAUAACUUUCUCCUGAUAAGAAGACCACCGACCGUGGACGGAUUCUGGCCAGUUUACAAAGGCUGCAUACCAUAGGGCAGGGCACCCCACUAUGGCAAACACUAAUAAUGAUAUUGCUCCUGAUUUUGUUUCUGAAGGGAAUGCCUCUAAGAUUUCUUCAUUAAUUAUAAGAUCAGUCUACGCAAAUGUGUUUGGGUGCAAUGUACCUGGCAAUUUCAUGGGGCAGUCGGGAGGACAGUGUGGCUGAAGCACAGUGAGUGAGAGGGUCCUAGGAACAUGGAUGCUGAGAUGGUGUCUUCUCCAUAUUUUCAUGGCCAGACUUCCUGUUAAGGCUGGAGGUGAGAAGUGGAAGGACCACUUUCUACGGCUUCCUCCCCAGCCCCUUUGGAUGGAUCUUCAUACACUCUGGUGCCCUUUCUUAUCUGUGAGGUUUGACCUGACACUGAGUUGAGAGUCCGAGGACCUGGGUUUAGUCCUAUUUCUGCCUCUUUCUUUCUAACUGCAUAACUUUUGACAACACUAAAGAAACUCCAUUUUCUUAUUUGCUAUGAGCUUGAUUAUGUCUAUGUUUCCACAGUCACAUGUCUGUGUAGGGAUUAUGUUAAUUUAUGUAUGUGACAGGAAAGAUUAGGAUAUUCAAUUCCUUUAACAAAUAAUUAUUGAAUGCUAGGCACUACUUCAGACACCAAAGCAACAGCAGGAACAAAACAGGCACAUGUAGUAUUGCUGAACUGUACCAAAUUCCUCUCCACUGAGGCUCAUUUUGCAUUCCCACCAGAAGGUGUGAAAAUGCCUGCUUUACCUCAUCAUCAUCUAUUCUCAAACUUGUAGAUUUUUGUCAAGCUGAUAGUGAGAAUGGUAUCUCAAACUAGUAUAGUUUUGGUUU